GCGGAGGAAAAGAAAAUAACAAUGAUUUCCCUAGUAACGGCGAGUGAAGAGGAAAGAGCUCAAAGUUGGAACCUGUUUGGCUUAGCUAAACCGGAUUGUAAACUGUAGAAGUGUUUUCCAGACACGCCUGGUAAAAAAGUCCUUUGGAACAGGGCAUCAUAGAGGGUGAGAAUCCCGUCUUUGGCCAGAGCUGUUGUCUUUUGUGAUACAUUUUCAAAGAGUCAGGUUGUUUGGGAAUGCAGCCUAAAUUGGGUGGUAAAUCUCACCUAAAGCUAAAUAUUUGCGAGAGACCGAUAGCGAACAAGUACCGUGAGGGAAAGAUGAAAAGAACUUUGAAAAGAGAGUUAAACAGUAUGUGAAAUUGUUAAAAGGGAACCGUUUGGAGCCAGACUGGCUUGACUGUAAUCAAUCUAGGCUUCGGCCUGGAUGCACUUGCGGUUUAUGCCUGCCAACGACAAUUUUUUUUGAGGGAAAAAACUAUUCGGAAUGUGGCCCUCCCUCGGGGGGGUGUUAUAGCCUUAUAGAAAAUACCUUGAAUUGGAUUGAGGAACGCAGUGAAUGCCUUUAGGCAAGAUUGCUGGGUGCUUUCGCUAAUAAAUGCUAGAAUUUCUGCUUCGGGUGGUGCUAGUGUUUAAAGGAGGAACUCGCCUGGUAUAUUUUUUAUUCGCUUAGGUUGUUGGCUUAAUGACUCUAAAUGAC
This 699-nucleotide ribosomal RNA is filed under the name Mucor flavus. RNAcentral's name for it is "eukaryotic LSU rRNA". It matches the Rfam family "Eukaryotic large subunit ribosomal RNA", at positions 50 to 648 of the family's 3401-position model. The record is from RNAcentral. Lineage: Eukaryota; Fungi; Mucoromycota; Mucoromycetes; Mucorales; Mucoraceae.